UUAGGAAUAUUGGACAAUGGGCGAAAGCCUGAUCCAGCCAUGCCGCGUGUGUGAUGAAGGCCCUAGGGUUGUAAAGCACUUUCGUUGGGGAUGAUAAUGACCGUACCCAAAGAAGAAGCACCGGCUAACUUCGUG
RNAcentral lists this ribosomal RNA (135 nucleotides) under uncultured bacterium. RNAcentral describes it as "partial 16S ribosomal RNA". It matches the Rfam family "Bacterial small subunit ribosomal RNA", at positions 355 to 507 of the family's 1533-position model. The record is from RNAcentral.